CAAUCGAAAUCACAAGUUUUUUAUAUAGCAGUAUUAUAGCAAUAAACUGUAUAGUUAUAUACUGUUAGUUAUAUAAGCGCGUCUAGUUUAUAUUAUGUAAUUAUUUCGGCAUACCCGCGGUAACGGUGUUAAAUUUGAAAAAAAAAAAAAGAAAAAAUUAAAAAUCAACCGUUUACUCAAUAGCAAUGCUAUUUGCAUUUUUAGACACACUCCGAUUGUCCAAUAAUAUGAUAUUAUCCUUGUAAAAAUGCGUCGAUUAGCGUCGAAACAAUCGUGAAAAUUGUCGAUUUAUCGAAAAUAUAAUAUAUACGUCUCAGAAUUAUUAUUUUAAAUCGUACGGUAAAAUGUUUAUAACGAUUGAGUUAUUAAUAAGAUAUUAAUUUCUUAAUAUUUAACUGUCAUGUUGCAUUGGAGAUUAUUACUUUUUAUAUACCAGUAUUUUUUUUUUGUCCUACAAAUAAAACUUAUAGAGGAAUUUCAUUACGAAACCGGCAAAGGAGAAAAAAAAAUCACCCGAACUCUCGUGACACAAACGAAUAUAUAAAUAAUUAUUGCAGUCGGUGCAAU
Molecule: non-coding RNA, 567 nt
Organism: Cinara cedri
Lineage: Eukaryota; Metazoa; Arthropoda; Insecta; Hemiptera; Aphididae
Source: the annotation of a GenBank genome assembly